This 394-nucleotide ribosomal RNA is filed under the name uncultured eukaryote. Its description in RNAcentral is "SSU rRNA". It matches the Rfam family "Eukaryotic small subunit ribosomal RNA", at positions 592 to 994 of the family's 1831-position model. The record is from RNAcentral.
CAAUAGCGUAUAUUAAAGUUGUUGCGGUUAAAAAGCUCGUAGUUGGAUUUCUGCGAGGGCGAGCCGGUCCGCUCUAUGAGCGUGUAUCUGGAUUGACCUUUGCAUCCUCUCGAAAACGUUUCUGCGCUUGAUUGCGUGGUGCGGGUUCGGGAGCUUUUACUUUGAGGAAAUUAGAGUGUUCACGGCAGGCGAUCGCCUUGAAUAUAUUAGCAUGGAAUAAUAAUAUAGGAUCUUGGUUCUAUUUUGUUGGUUUCUAGGACUAAGAUAAUGAUUAAUAGGGACAAUUGGGCGAUCGUAUAAUCACGCAGAGGUGGAAUUCUUGGAUUGUGUUACGACGAACUACUGCGAAAGCAUUUGCCAAGGAUGUUUUCAUUGAUCAAGAACGAAAGUAAGG